Molecule: long non-coding RNA, 387 nt
Filed under: Apis mellifera (honey bee)
Lineage: Eukaryota; Metazoa; Arthropoda; Insecta; Hymenoptera; Apidae
Description: uncharacterized LOC102655529, transcript variant X2
Source: RNAcentral
UUGAUGAAUUUUAUCAAAGAGAGGGAUAUAAAGAAAAAAAAGAGAGAAACAGUAAACUUUGUUCAUCGCAAGGAAUGGAGUUUGUUAGCAUUCCAAACUUCGUUAGGAAUCGUAAUUUGAAACGAGAAAUGGAAGAAAGUGUCUGGAAAAUUAAUAAAUUUGCAUAUUUGUCUAAAUAUUUGCGUUUGAAGUGGAAAAUGCUAAUUAAAGAAAAGGCAAGCUGAAAAUUAUUCCCAACCAGAAUAUAAAAUUUAACAAACAAUUAUUUUCUACUCACCUAGUAAAGACAAGGCACAGUAACGUAGCACUAAGGAUCAUAAGUUGCUGACUUAAAGCUGAUUGAGAUUUUUGCAUAGCUCUGUGCAGAUCGUUCUGAAAAAAAAAAAA